GAGAAGUUCGUUCUGGUGUUU
This 21-nucleotide microRNA is filed under the name Bos taurus (domestic cattle). RNAcentral describes it as "bta-miR-2284i". The record is from miRBase by way of RNAcentral. Lineage: Eukaryota; Metazoa; Chordata; Mammalia; Artiodactyla; Bovidae.